This 553-nucleotide ribosomal RNA is filed under the name Bacillus sp. (in: firmicutes). RNAcentral describes it as "bacterial SSU rRNA". It matches the Rfam family "Bacterial small subunit ribosomal RNA", at positions 83 to 627 of the family's 1533-position model. Lineage: Bacteria; Bacillati; Bacillota; Bacilli; Caryophanales; Bacillaceae. The record is from RNAcentral.
GAAUGUUUGAUCUUGACUCUGAAUAACACGUGGGUAACCUGCCUGUAAGACUGGGAUAACUCCGGGAAACCGGAGCUAAUACCGGAUAGUUCCUUGAACCGCAUGGUUCAAGGAUGAAAGACGGUUUCGGUUGUCACUUACAGAUGGACCCGCGGCGCAUUAGUUAGUUGGGGGGGUAAUGGCUCACCAAGGCGACGAUGCGUAGCCGACCUGAGAGGGUGAUCGGCCACACUGGGACUGAAACACGGCCCAAACUCCUACGGGAGGCAGCAGAAGGGAAUCUUCCGCAAUGGACAAAAGUCUGACGGAGCAACGCCGCGGGAGUGAUGAAGGUUUUCGGAUCGAAAAGUUCUGUUGUUAGGGAAAAACAAGUGCGAGAGUAACUGCUCGCACCUUGACGGUACCUAACCAAAAAGCCACGGUUAACUACGUGCCAGCAGCCGCGGAAAUACGUAGGGGGCAAGCGUUGUCCGGAAUUAUUGGGCGUAAAGGGCUCGCAGGCGGUUUCUUAAGUCUGAUGUGAAAGCCCCCGGCUCAACCGGGGAGGGUCUUU